GGAGAAGCCUGGAGGGAGCAGGAGCUGUGAUUUGCACCUCAGGAAAAGCCAGGUGCAUGCUGGUGUAGGCUGCCUGUGGAGAGAUGCAGAGACAUUCAACUGUUAUUUGUUAUUCUCCUGAAGCACAGCGAAGCAGCCCCGGUGAGGAGUGAUCCCAGGCUGUGGCAUGUUCCAGCAGACGUGGUGGAAUGUGACAGCAAGGAACACACGCUGCCUGAGCCUCCCUGGGGAGAUGGGAGCAACAAUCAUGCUCGCUUGGUGUCCUUGCUGCCUGCAGUCACCCUGCACAGGAGGAGCCCGGUGGUCACUCUUGUCCCCGCAGCAGCAGACGUCGCCCAUCAAUGCUGCUGCCAGGUCUCUGGUAAUGGAAGGUUCAGCUCCCUGGGACUGGCGGAGUCACGGCAUCGGGACUGGGCUUUUCUCAGCCUCGCUUCAAGAAAUGUAAUUGAAACACGCAAGAACUUCUUUUUGGAGGAGAAACAUGCACUACAUCCAAAAACACUGGAUUUCAGCCCUCUCUUGAUGUUUCCAUGGCCUCAGUUAGUGGGAUGAAGCCUUUCUUCAUGGCAGAAUGACACAAGACAGAUUUGCAUCUUUAAAGAUCCUUCCUGAUUUUGCAUAUAAACAAAACCUGACUUAAACGGUUCAGCUGGUGAUUGUGAGGGUUUAUCAGGUCUCCAUUCACCACCAACCUCAGAGGGAACUCUGCUGUGGGCUGCUAGAACACAGGUAACUUCUUGUACCUAUUUGUCUGAAGCUUAGGAAGGGGGCAGAGGCUGGGUGACCAAAUGACCAAAAAAUGUCAUGAAGUCUUUUUGUAUUUUAAAGCUGAAGUACUUUUCAGUCUUACCUUUUUUUCUUGAAGUUAUCCUGCAUGUGAUGGAAGUGAUGAGCUUUUUUACUUUCCACAUGUCGCACGGAUCAGGGAAGUGAUGCUGUUUCAAAGGGACGACCUGCAGCACAUAGGACCCAGCCAGCCUGACUCCAUCCUGCCCAGGACAGCCAGGUUUUGACUGCCAGUGUUCUGAAGCUCUGUGGAUUUGCCAACUCAUACACACAGCUCUGAAAAUGCAUGCACGUCUCCUAUGGCCUAUGCAGCACCAGACUGGUUGCAUGGAGGGUGAUAAUAUUGACAGUGCAGAAAAGGUCUGUCCUGCAUCUUAAGACACUGCCUGUGAUACUUCAGCAGAGCUCUUCUCCCACCUCCACGACCUGUUUGUCUCCAAAUUGCCAAGGGAGAGAAAGGCAGCAGGCAGCCAGAUGAGUCUGGCUGGUCUCCAGUGCCUGUCAGUAUCAUCCAUGGAUAGUCUUCCAUGGAGAUGUUUGUCCCUGUAUUCUGUUCACUGGGCUUCUCUGUCUGGUUGACCAUGUUUCUUCUUGAAGUGGGCCCUUUCUGCCCUGCCUUUGCCAAUGUGCUUUGUUGAGUAAGUGGAAGACAUUGUAAUGAGGGCUUACUGACCCCAGCCUCGAGAUAUAUGGGAAGGAAAAGGUUUUUUUGUGAUAUUUUCAGCUUAACUUUCCAAUUCCAAAGGCCUGGAAAAGACUGGUUGGCAGCCAAGCCUUGAGUGUAUAUUAAUCUGCCUGUGUCCUCCCUGUAGGUUUGCCUUUCCAUGGAACAAACCACAAGGGCACUGUUAAUGAUGCUGCAGAGAUAAGAGAAGUUCUCAACCCAGAGGGAGAUCCCAGGAGCCUUGAAACAGUUUGGACCCUUGUCUAAAGCAUGAGGAAAGCCUGUUUCUCUAAAGCAGAUAUGGCUGUGUCCUGAAAUCCAAGGACCAGAAAAAUGCUUGCAUUCUAUUUAAUCUCUAAGAUAUCACAGAUUCAGAAAAAUACUUAGAGGUCUUCCAAGAAAGCAUUUGUAGAUUUGAGUGUGCAAGCCUGUGAAAGUGUUCAGUUGUCUAGCAAUGGUAGCAUAUGCAGGUAAAGGAUCUUUAUCUGCUUUAAUAGUUGUUACUCCUCCACUGAAGCUGGAAGAAAAGGGAAUGAGUGCCAUGAUCCUCUCAGCUAUGCAAUAAGUACCUGAUGACACAAAGGCUCUGGGGUGACAUCCUGCACCCUGCAGCAGGUGUUAAGUGCAGAACUACUGAUGGUAAAAUGCUUUGGAUGCUGCUUAUUGUGGAGGCAGAACCCAACCCAAAAUCAUGUAACUGGCCUGCUGAGACAGUUUUGUCUCAAAGAGAAGCAUCCAGGUCUGGAUGACACAGUUGCCUCGCAGGAUGAUUUCAUCCUUCCACCUUUUCUCAUCUCUUUGCUUUUGCUGUUGGAUAAGCUUGAGAGGUUGUAAGCUGGGUACAAGGAACUCAUUUAUGUGUCCAGGCUUGGCUUCUGCCUUGUGCUUCUGUCAGUAUCUUCUCCAUGCCUGAAUGCUGGUAUCAGAAUCACUACUGCUAAUACAACAAAUGAGGGAGUUAAUUGUGGAUUUGAUGCCAUCAUCUUUCAGAGUAGACUUCAUCUGUGUUUGUGGCUUGGCAUCACCCUUGUCUUGCACCCCUUGUUCUCUGAGGGGCUCCUUGGAUCUCUGCUUCUCUGCUGGUUUUGGGUGCUGGCUCUUUAGCCAACACUUAUGAAGACGUGCUUGUUGUUGCAGGUGCUGUGGUUUGUCAAUGGUUUACAGGCUGGUUCAGCCCGGUUCUGUGACU
Molecule: long non-coding RNA, 2639 nt
Organism: Lagopus leucura (white-tailed ptarmigan)
Lineage: Eukaryota; Metazoa; Chordata; Aves; Galliformes; Phasianidae
Exons: 5
Source: RefSeq, a predicted model, not a curated record